UACGUAGGGGGCGAGCGUUGUCCGGAUUUAUUGGGCGUAAAGAGCGUGUAGGCGGCCAGGUAGGUCUGCUGUGAAAACUCGAGGCUCAACCUCGAGACGUCGGCGGAAACCAUCUGGCUAGAGUCCGGAAGAGGAGAGUGGAAUUCCUGGUGUAGCGGUGAAAUGCGCAGAUAUCAGGAAGAACACCCGUGGCGAAGGCGGCUCUCUGGGACGGUACUGACGCUCAGGCGCGAAAGCUAGGGGAGCAAACAGG
Molecule: ribosomal RNA, 253 nt
Filed under: uncultured bacterium
Lineage: Bacteria
Description: partial 16S ribosomal RNA
Rfam family: Bacterial small subunit ribosomal RNA
Source: RNAcentral